RNAcentral lists this long non-coding RNA (696 nucleotides) under Mustela putorius furo (domestic ferret). Its description in RNAcentral is "lncRNA (ENSMPUG00000025082.1)". The record is from RNAcentral. Lineage: Eukaryota; Metazoa; Chordata; Mammalia; Carnivora; Mustelidae.
CUCAUCCGAGAGUUCUAAUAGCCCAAAGUUGGUUAGUCUUCUGCUUUAGUUGGAACUAAAACAAAUGAGAACCUGCCCCGAGAGAUGUGGAUCCAGGAAGAAUUCACGUAGAAUGUAUUAACAUGAGCAAUGAAGGCAAACAAGAAAGGACAGUUGAUUACCUCCUAUCAUCCUAGAGAAACCAUUCACUUGUGCACACAUUGGUUUAGCCAACACUCACUGAGGGGCAGUAUAGUAUAUGGUUAAUGGUUCAGGCUCUGGAGUGAGAUGCCCUGGGUUCAAACCCCGGUUCCACCAAUUCUGUGCCCCAUGGCCUCCAGCAAACUACUAAUUUCUCUGUUUCUUCACCAGCAGUCAACAUCUCAGGAACUCGAUGUCAGAGGAUUUUUCUUCCUCUUUUUGCUCUCCCAUGUGCUAUAUUCUUUCCAGCAGCUAACAAGCAAGUUGUAAAACAGGACUGAUGCCACCUUACAUCAGCUGAGAAAACCUCAAAGAAUCUGAAUCCUUCCAUUUCAAAUAUUGUUUAUUUUCCUUCUCUCUUCCCCAACUUCAAAUCAACCUAUGCUUCGAGUCUGGGAAUCUAAGGGAGUUCUCAAGCCCAUGUAUCUGUUUCCUUUAAUAGACUUGUAGCUUAAUUAAACUAAGCAUUAGCCUCCUUUUUGUCCUUUACUUUCUUUAAUUCCUUGGUCCUGACUC